RNAcentral lists this unclassified non-coding RNA (272 nucleotides) under Hevea brasiliensis (rubber tree). The record is from RNAcentral. Lineage: Eukaryota; Viridiplantae; Streptophyta; Magnoliopsida; Malpighiales; Euphorbiaceae.
AUUUUAGCCUUUUUUUUUUCAUGUUGAUGAAGUUGGUUAAUGGGUCGCAACUUUGGCUGAAAUGUUUGUUAUAUGAGCUGCAUUUGAAGUGUGAUUUCUAUGUAGUAGAAUAAUUUGGUAACUAAUGAGAGGUUAGCAAAUUUUUUAUCCCUAUUCUGGCCAGAGUCGAGAUCUACCCAAUUGCUUUUGUUAAGUUGAUUUAUUAGAUGCUAUGCAGCAAAAAUAGUCUUAAAUUGAUUUAUUAGAUGCUAUGCAGCAAAAAUAGUCUUAAA